CCUCUAGAUCUUAAAAAAUAAAGCAAUCUGACCCGUAUAGACAUGCUCGGGUAGAUUCGAAGUCUAGCAUGGGGACCUGCAACCCAGACAAGCCGCUCCACUACUCCGAACUCCGGCGAGGACGAGCUCCGGCGCACCGCGACACAUCCCGCUCCGACAAGGUCGCACUUCAGCGCACCCACACCACUGCCCAUCGCCGGCGGCACGUGCACCUCAUCCACAACACUCACUGCAGAGGCGAUGAGGAGAGGUGGGGCUGGCGGUGGACUUCUGGUGACAGGGACGGAAGCCGGUGUGGGCGGCGCGAUUGCCUCCUCCCGGACGGAUCGGGGCCAGGGAAUUGGAUCGGGAGCAGGGGUUGAAUGUUUUUUAACUUUAGAUCCAUU
Molecule: long non-coding RNA, 386 nt
Filed under: Hordeum vulgare
Lineage: Eukaryota; Viridiplantae; Streptophyta; Magnoliopsida; Poales; Poaceae
Description: long non-coding RNA (HVUL_LNC008243)
Source: RNAcentral